RNAcentral lists this ribosomal RNA (254 nucleotides) under uncultured bacterium. RNAcentral's name for it is "partial 16S ribosomal RNA". It matches the Rfam family "Bacterial small subunit ribosomal RNA", at positions 524 to 776 of the family's 1533-position model. The record is from RNAcentral.
UACGUAGGGUGCAAGCGUUGUCCGGAAUUAUUGGGCGUAAAGAGCUCGUAGGUGGUUUGUCGCGUUGUUCGUGAAAACUCACAGCUUAACUGUGGGCGUGCGGGCGAUACGGGCAUCACUGGAGUUCGGCAGGGGAGACUGGAAUUCCUGGUGUAGCGGUGAAAUGCGCAGAUAUCAGGAGGAACACCGGUGGCGAAGGCGGGUCUCUGGGCCGAUACUGACGCUGAGGAGCGAAAGCGUGGGGAGCGAACAGG